RNAcentral lists this ribosomal RNA (431 nucleotides) under uncultured bacterium. RNAcentral describes it as "partial 16S ribosomal RNA". It matches the Rfam family "Bacterial small subunit ribosomal RNA", at positions 30 to 507 of the family's 1533-position model. The record is from RNAcentral.
CGAACGCUGGCGGCAUGCCUAACACAUGCAAGUCGACCGAGACCUUCGGGUCUAGUGGCGCACGGGUGCGUAACGCGUGGGAACCUGCCCUUUGGUUCGGAAUAACUCCCCGAAAGGGGUGCUAAUACCGGAUAAUGUCUUCGGACCAAAGAUUUAUCGCCUUUGGAUGGGCCCGCGUUGGAUUAGCUAGUUGGUAGGGUAAAAGCCUACCAAGGCGACGAUCCAUAGCUGGUCUGAGAGGAUGAUCAGCCACACUGGGACUGAGACACGGCCCAGACUCCUACGGGAGGCAGCAGUGGGGAAUAUUGGACAAUGGGCGAAAGCCUGAUCCAGCAAUGCCGCGUGAGUGAUGAAGGCCUUAGGGUUGUAAAGCUCUUUUACCCGGGAUGAUAAUGACAGUACCGGGAGAAUAAGCUCCGGCUAACUCCGUG